AGCAGCCGCGGUAAUUCCAGCUCCAAUAGCGUAUAUUAAAGUUGUUGCAGUUAAAAAGCUCGUAGUUGAACUUCAGGCCUGUCCAGAUGGUCCGCCUUAAUUGGUGUGUACUGUCCUUGGGUGGGUCCUACCUUCUGGCGAAGCGGCAUGGCCUUAGUUGGUUGUGUCGGGGAACCAGGACUUUUACUGUGAAAAAAUUAGAGUGUUCAAAGCAGGCAAAUAUGCUCGAAUACAUUAGCAUGGAAUAAUGGAAUAGGACGAUGGUUCUAUUUUGUUGGUUCUAGGACCGUUGUAAUGAUUAAUAGGGAUAGUUGGGGGCAUUAGUAUUCAAUUGUCAGAGGUGAAAUUCUUGGAUUUAUUGAAGACUAACUACUGCGAAAGCAUUUGCCAAGGAUGUUUUCAUUAAUCAAGAACGAAAGUUAGGGGAUCGAAGACGAUCAGAUACCGUCGUAGUCUUAACCAUAAACUAUGCCGACUAGGAAUCGGGCGAUGUUGACAAAAUGACUCGCUCGGCACCUCAUG
This 522-nucleotide ribosomal RNA is filed under the name uncultured Paraglomeraceae. RNAcentral's name for it is "SSU rRNA". It matches the Rfam family "Eukaryotic small subunit ribosomal RNA", at positions 569 to 1092 of the family's 1831-position model. Lineage: Eukaryota; Fungi; Glomeromycota; Glomeromycetes; Paraglomerales. The record is from RNAcentral.